GUUUCGGCCAGCCCCACCCUGCCAUGCGGCAGCGCCGUUGCGCUGCUCUGAUUCAAGCGAUGCCAUGUGGAAAGAGUGGCGGAGCCCACCCGUGCGAGCAGACCGCCCCCAGCCCGGCAGCCCGAGCCGCGCCUACGUCGAGGGGCCCGCAAACCGCCAGUCCUACGCGCUAUUCUCUUGAGCAUCGCGGUGGGCUUGCCGAGGGUAGAGCCCAACAGGAUACCCGGACCGCAUCACGCCUUCUUCCCUGAUAUCCUCACACUCUUCACAUCCCUCAAAAGCAGGGAUGCCACGCAGGUCGCGCUAGAAUCCGCCCUCUGGGGGGAGGGGGGGGGCGCUGGGCGCUGAGGCGCUGAGGCGCUGCGAAUUCCUUCGAAACGAGGUGCGGGCUCUUCGUUGCACAGUAUCGCGGCCAGCUGCAACGCCUUAUUGCACGCACGUACCCGAAAGAGGAUCUCUACCACGGCCCCUUUCUUGGUGCCGGGCUGCUUUGUGGAAGGAAGAGGGGAGCAGGCUCAGGGAGGCUCACCGCGGGUCGGCAGGGACGGAGGCCGGGCGGCUGCAGCUGGCGCUUGUCUUCCCACGCGGUCGUCAAGCCGUCGCGGGAUCAUGCGCUCGAGUAAACUGCGGGUAUUGCCAGCCAGCGCCGCAGGGAUGGCAGGGCGCACGGCCAGCACCCGGCAUGUGCAGCUUCAGAGGGGGCAAAAUGCGCCCCGCUCCACCCUUCAUUGCAGCAGCGGCGCGGCUGGUGGUGACGCUCCGGCCGUGGAUGUGCAGCGGUGCGCCCUCCCCGCCGUGCAUCUGUAGGGCUUUGGCGCCCUCACAGUAAAUCUCGUCAAGGCCGAUGGCGGGGCCCCAGUGGACUUUGUAGGGUGACAUCCCGGGCCCGCCUAUUGCGGGCGGUUGGAAGGGCGUAGCGCAGGGUCUCCGUAAAACGCCGUGGGGCGCGAGGGGGGGGGGGGCGGCCGAACGCUGCGCCGACCUCCGCCAACACCUUUGCCUGCUUUAUCGCGCUGAGGUGGCGGCCAACUUGUCCCACCACUCGUGCGCGCAGUGCACGCGGGCAUGGGUAGCCAAGAUGCGUGCCCGUGAUCGGGGGUCGCUGGGGGUGGGGGCGUUGCGGGGCCGCAUCCGUCCCUCAAGGCUGGUUCCUUGGUGCGGUUUCGCGGGCGUUCUCGGUAGGGGGAAAUGCUCCGGCGACGGGCGGGGCACCGUCUCGAGGGCUGCCCCCGAUGGUGCCAGUCUUGUCGCCCAGAAUGGUCUACCAGCGGUGAUGCCAGAUGGGGCGGCUUUCUCGGUGGUGGUUGCUAUCGGGGGGUGAUUUUAGCGUAUCGCGGGCGGGGGCGUUGUGGCGGUGUGUGGCGGCAUGGGCGAUCCGCCCUCCCUCCCCUUGGUGCUCUUCCAGCUUGUGGUGGCGGUCUCGGGGCUGGCGCGGCGCUCUGGGCCUGGCACGUCUUCGCUUCCCCGUCGCUGGGGCCUGCUCGCGGUCCUUGCGGGCCGAUUCGGCAAUCAGGGCGCGGCGCAGCUUUCGGUUCGCCGCGCGAAAAGGGAAUGGGUGGGCCCCGGUCAUCGCGGGCAGCGCCCGCCCACCCUCCUCCUCAGAGUGGGGCGGGGGGCUGGGCAGCGCGGCUGGCCACAAGGCGCCGUGGCGACGGUGCCCCGGCCGCGGACAAAGCAGCCGGACAGCGCGGGGUCAUCCAGUGAAAUCCCAGUGGCCCCGUCUGCGCUGUGCCCUGUCGGCGUGCCGUUGUCCCUUGCGCGCGUCGAGCAUCCGUCGCUCGGCCCGCCAUUUGGGAUGGCCCUGGCCCGGUCGCGUCGUCCCUUUCCCGUCCCGCACCCGGCGGCGCGAGCCGGCACCCAUCCCAAUAACGCGAGGGCUGGUGGGCGACGCCGUCCGGCACCUGAUCGAAAACCCCCGUGCAACCAGGUAACCCUUAACCGUGUGGCCACGCGUGGGGUGCAUCCGUCGAGUGGAGACAUGGCGGAAAAGCCAGGGCGCAGCUGCCGCAGCCUUGUCCUUUAGAACUGGGGAAAGAGGGCCUACACACCUAUCCGCGUGCCGCGCCGUGGCGUAUUGGCACGGAGGCGCCAGCGCCGUGACUCCUUUACGCCUGCUGCGCUGGGGUGCUGAAAGCCCGGGGGACCGAG
RNAcentral lists this unclassified non-coding RNA (2148 nucleotides) under Leishmania donovani. RNAcentral's name for it is "gene:LdHU3.07.0620(CDS-product:hypothetical_prote in)". The record is from RNAcentral. Lineage: Eukaryota; Euglenozoa; Kinetoplastea; Trypanosomatida; Trypanosomatidae.